GAUUAACGCUGGCGGCGUGCAUAACACAUGCAAGUCGAACGAUGAAACUUAAAUGAUUUCUUCGGAAUGAACUUAAGUGGAUUAGUGGCGGACGGGUGAGUAACGCGUGAGUAACCUGCCUUACACAAGGGGAUAGCCGUUGGAAACGACGAAUAAUACCCUAUGAAACUAUCACUUCGCAUGAAGCGAUAGUCAAAGUGUUAGCGGUGUAAGAUGGACUUGCGUCUGAUUAGCUAGUUGGUGAGAAAAAAGCCCACCAAGGCAACGAUCAGUAGCCGGCUUGAGAGAGUGUACGGCCACAUUAGGACUGAGACACGGCCCAGACUCCUACGGGAGGCAGCAGUGGGGAAUUUUGCACAAUGGGGGAAACCCUGAUGCAGCGACGCCGCGUGAUUUAGAAGGCCUUCGGGUUGUAAAAAUCUUUUGUAUAGGAAGAAAAUGACAGUACUAUACGAAUAAGGUCCGGCUAAUUACGUG
RNAcentral lists this ribosomal RNA (477 nucleotides) under uncultured bacterium. RNAcentral describes it as "partial 16S ribosomal RNA". It matches the Rfam family "Bacterial small subunit ribosomal RNA", at positions 28 to 507 of the family's 1533-position model. The record is from RNAcentral.